Long non-coding RNA from Musa acuminata AAA Group (dessert banana), 589 nucleotides. RefSeq lists it as uncharacterized. Lineage: Eukaryota; Viridiplantae; Streptophyta; Magnoliopsida; Zingiberales; Musaceae. The transcript has 2 exons. The record is from RefSeq and is a predicted model, not a curated record.
UAUUGGGUUUUGGGUUAGACGAACGACAAGGGUCGCGGAUAGACGAGUUUUAUUACGCCCUAAAUAUCGAAUCGGACUUGGCAUUGUCCAGCAGAGGCGAGAGAGAGGAAAGAGGGGCGUCAUGGCAGGGGUUGAAGUGGAACCACGCAAGGGAGACACACGGCAGGCGACGCAGGAGAAGCACGGGGUGGCCAAUCCUCCUCCUCCUGUGGCGAUGGUCACUUUUCCGGACGCCGCUCGCCGAAGAGCCCAGAGCUUCCCCCCGCCUCUCAAGUUGGAGUGCGAGGAUUCCACCGAAGACAUGAACCCGCGCAACUUGUGGCAGGUGUAUGCUCUUGGAGGAUUUAUGAUCUCAAAGUGGAUUUGGGCUCGCUGGAGGGAGAGGAACAAUAGAGGGACAUCAGAUGAGGAUUCAUCUACUUGAAACAAAAAAUUUCACUUUCAAAAGCCUGAAUAUUGGUAAAGAUUUCUUUUCGUACCACUUAUGGAUACAAGCAUAAUGCUCAUAUUUGUGAUGUGAUUGAAGUCAGUGCAAACAGGAUUUGUCACACUUCUAGUUUUGCAUUGGAAAGCAUUCAACGUUAAUGUA